Hylaeus anthracinus is the source of this 5723-nucleotide long non-coding RNA. RefSeq lists it as uncharacterized. The transcript is spliced from 3 exons. NCBI's taxonomy places the organism in Eukaryota, Metazoa, Arthropoda, Insecta, Hymenoptera, Colletidae. The record is from RefSeq and is a predicted model, not a curated record.
AUAAGUCUCAACCUGAUGGACAUUACAAUGUAUCUAUACACAUAAGUCUCAACCUCAUAGUCAUUACAAUACGUCUAUACACAUAAGUCACAACCUGAUGGACAUUACAAUACAUCUAUACACAUAAGUCUCAACCUGAUGGUCAUUACAAUACAUCUGCACGCUUAAGUCUCAACCCGAUAGUCACUGCAACGUAUCUACCAUCUAAGUGUCAAUCUGAUGGUCACUGUAAAGCGUCUGAACACAAAACUCUCAACCGACAAAAUAAAAGCGAUCGUAAACCGCGCGAAAAAGUUGCCUGGCGAUAGAUAGCACGCGAAAGAAUUUUUCGUCGUUUCCAGGCAUAUAACAAACAAACACGGUGAUUGAUUUGCCCUUUAACACAGCUGCCGAUGAAUAUUCAAACGCAUCUGUAGAAACUCGAUGUAUCGUCCCUCUUUCUCUCUUCUGUUUGGCGCGACGAGCACGCGGCGUUAGGCAACCAACGAUACAAAACCGUCCGCUAUUGAAAAUGUUAAACAACUCGAUAUUACAUCACGUUACGCGCGACUAUUAAUUACACCGAUAUACUUAUUCAUCUGCUCGUUCGCGGGGUAUUCACGUGCACAAUUUACGGUCAAUUUGCAACUCGCUACCGUGCUGUCACCGGUUCGAGGCGUAUUAUUUAUAGGCCUUGUUUCUUUCGGCGUCCUCCGCGAAGGAAAGUCGACCGGGAACAAAUGAAAUUGCUAUCGAUGCUCUGGCGAGUGAUGAAUCAAAUUUAAAUCGACCGCUCGGUACUAACUUUGUUAUUGAAAAUAACGCGGUAGCGGUUCGAGUUAACUGUCGCGACCAUUUUUAUACAUACACAAUCGGUGUAAUAAUUAUUCGUAUACGAAUCAUUUAUUUCAAAUUGGUUGCUGUACGAAUACUCCUUACAGCGACUGUACGUCUCAACCUGAUGGACGUUACACUUUAUUUACAUACGCGAAGCUCAGUAAAUUUUGUUCACCGUUCUUCUAACGGAAGUAUUCUCGAAAAUGAUUAAGUGCAGAAAUUAAUUCUACGCUAUUGCACGUUUAAAAAACGUUUCAUGUCGCAAAGACGCGUCCUUUCUCGCCAUUAAAGGUCGUAACCGGUUACGUGACUCAUCCCCGCGUAACUGUCCACCGACGAAUUAUCGAAAGCUGUUCCUCUGUACCUGUACACGCGUUAGACUCGAUCGGCCUUCUUAUUUUCGUGUCCAUCGAUUCAUCGAUCGCGCGUGGCCCACGCCACGUCGGAAAUGUCACACGCGCCGUUCCUUCGUUAUUUUGUAUAAUAGAGCCCUCGUAAAGCAAACGGUAGAGCGGAAUAUAUCGCGCGAUAUAUUAAAUGCACGUGUAGGUCUCUCGGCUUUCGUCGAAGCGAAAGAAAGUAGUCUGUCCCGUUACGAAAUAGCGAGUGAAUGUCGACUAUCUGGGUCAGACAAAAGCGGAACUUCCGCGAGUACUCGACGACCGACGAACAGUUUAACAGCGUGUUCAAUUUUUUAUCAGGUCGUAUAAACGUUCCCUCGGCCCUUGAAUUUUCCAGAAGGAUAAUCGACGCGCGUUGAUAUUUAUCAACGAUGGAUACUAAUACCUAUGCCUUACCAAACCGACUUCGGCAAUUAUUUAUAAAUAAACCGGCAAUGUUUAUGCAUUUAUGGUAAACACGAAGAUAUGGGGAAAUCUAUGAGAAUGUCCACGAAUGCAUGCAAUCGUUAAAUAUCGAUAAUAACGUACGCUUUAUACCGUUUGGAAUAUACAUAAAACAUGUUUCCAUUUAAGUUGAAAUUCUUUUCGUGUAUCGGUGAAAAUAUGAGCUCGCGUAAACAUCCGCGGUGUAUUUUUAAAACAAAACCAGACGACGUUCAAUGUUCCCUCGAUUGCACGUUCCGAGGGAGUGUGCAUGCAGGUUGUAAAAAUAAGUUAUUUUUAUUAUAAAUUGCCGUGCAAAGCCACGUGAUUAAUUUCCGUACCUAAUAUUUUUAAUGUCAGAAAAGUAACAGUAAGCAACAUUUCGCGGCUAUCAAAGGUUCGAUACGCAUUGUAACGACCAUCUGAUUGAGACCUGGAUUUCGAGAAUAUUAUUUAAUUUUGAAUGAGUGCGUAUACCGUUCGGUUACAUUUAGCACGUGCUUAUUAUGUUAAUUUAUAUCGUAAGUGCAUACGAUGCAGUUUAACGAUAAUAAAAUAUUUUCCUUCGCCGAGGGAGAAAGCGAAGGUUGAGUACCCCUGGCUGACUCAACUUCGUAGAAACAAACGAAACGACGAACACAGUGAGCAAGAACUGAACACGUUUCUUUUUUUUUUUUUUUAUAGCGUUUCGUGAAUUUACAGAAGGAUGUCGUGGCCUUCCCAUUUCCGAGCCACGUACCGUUAGUUACUUUUUAUGGGCAGCGCUAGGGAUACGAUUAAUCCUCCGAAAUAUGUCGACGAAUCGCUGUAAACGGUCGACGAUGGCCUCUAAUGGCGUUCCCGUGUCAACGUGGGCCCGUCUUAAAUAUUUAAUCCGUAACCCGAGGUUUAUUUUCAAUAUCCCUGGCCGAAUCACACGGCUCUCGUUUCACCAAUAUGAGAUUUCAUGGAAACGUUGAGGUCCGGCGACCAACUUCGACCCCAGAUAAGCGAGAGCUUUCUUGCUCGCGUUGCAACGUCAACCGACGCGAUAGAUACCGUUCCCGGAUCACGCCAAAUAACAAUCUACAACUUCGUUCUUUUUCUAUUAUUUGCUCGUGUGUAUUUCUAGGCGAUACAUCGUGGUAUUUUAUGGUAUUUUUAUCUAACGAAAUGAGAAAAGGAUCAUUCGAAACAUAUUGAAAGUAAAGUUCAUAUCUGGACGUGAAAUAUACUUUUAGGUUAGGUCUUUAUAUUUUUUUAUAUUUUUAGGUUAGGUUAGCUCUUUAUAGUUUUAUAUAUUUUCGAGGUUAGGUUAGGUCUUUAUACUUUUAUAUAUUUUUGAGUUUAGGUUAGGUCUUUAUAUUGUUAUAUAUUUUUAAGGUUAAGUCAGGUCUUUAUAUUUUUAUAUAUUUUUAGGUUAGGUUAGCUCUUUAUACAUUUAUAUAUUUUCGAAGUUAGGUUAGGUCUUUAUAUUUUUAUAUAUUUUCGAGGUUAGAUUAGGUCUUCAUAUUUUUAUAUAUUUUCGAGGUUAGAUUAGUUUUUUAUAUUUUUAUAUAUUUUUAGGUUAGGUUAGGUCUUUAUAUUUUUAUAUAUUUUUAGGUUAGGUCUGUGCUAGCGGUUUGACACACAAUAAUAAAAAAUAGCGUUCGAAUGUUUCCAAGGAGAAUUAUAAACAGCUUGCGGAUUUAUAUGCAUUUACACGAAAUGUGAAACUACAAAAUGCACGCAAUAUGCCAUAAUAGAAAAUAUAUUGAAAGUGAAUUUCACGUUAUAAUAUUUGCAACAUGAAAUAUAUUUUGAGGUCAGGUCUUACUUAUUUUUAUCUAGAUUCGCAAAGAUUUAAUUCUGCACAAAAAUCCUCUGGGUCUGAUAAAUUUUUCCCAAACUCGUUAAUGAAAAUUUAUCCGAACAGUAUAAUAUAAUUACGUUUCGCGUGGUAUCUGCUUCGACGGAGAUUUCCUAACUGUUUCGAGCUGCGUACCGAUCGAUAGGAAAUUAUACAGGACGUACGCGCGUCCUAUUAUAUGUUAUUAGCUACCGGAGUUUUUAAUAAUUUUCAAUGGUUCCGAGUCACUCGAUACCGCCCUUCGUGAAAACGAUAUAAAUGGGCAUGCACGCUCGGUUUACCGUGGCGCAACCGUUAUUUGAUACGGUACUGCCUUGCGUUACAGGCAUUCCGCGCCAGGUAAAUCGUACACGUGUACUUGUACACGUGCCGGGGCAAAGUUUCGUUCGUUAAUUACGUAAGGACCAUUUUGGCCAUUUUCGCAUCGGAAUUAAUUUAUUUAGUUCCUUACUGAAAAUACCCUGUCACCCCCUUCGCGCUGAUGUUUCCCCUUAAUUGGAAAUGAAACACUUUUUUAAUUAAUUAAAUAAUUAAUUUUAAUGUUUACAUUCGUUGAAUCAAUUUGAAAAAAAUGUCAGCCCACAGGAGUCGACGAGAAGAAACUUUUUUAUAUUUACAGAUUAUUCGUGCAACGCUUAGUUUCGGAAAUAAAAAUGGCAAAAGUUCGAAAUUCGUUGUAGAAAUUGAAUUUCAGAAGAAAGGUCUUCCGAGUUUCCAAUUUUUAUUUUUGAAACGAAACGUCGUAUGCAUGAACUGUAAAUAGAAAAAAGUUCCGUCUUAUCGUUCCCUGUAAGCUGAUAUUUUUUUAAAAAUUCACAACUCUAUGCCCCUUGAAAUUUUUAGCAAAAAUCGCCCCGAUCGUCCAAGGGUCGACCGAAAACGUGUCGUUUGAUUCCUUGCCCACGUGAAACAUUUCCGCGUUCGAUUGAAAAAGGCGUCUUCGAUAGCGUUCGUUUAACGAGUCGAAGCGAAUCGCUAACAACGAAAAAUGGAAACGAGUGGGUCGACUUUGACCCAUUCCAAGUAUCACGAAUCGUCGAUGUACGAGGCGUCGAUGAAUGCGCCGCGUGUCACCAGGCAACAGAGGCGAUAAAACAGCUAUCCGAACUCCAUUUCCGCAAGCAUGCGCCCGAUAGGAAAACACCGAAGGAUAAAUAACUCGAUCCAAGGUAAGUUCUCAGCGGUGUCUAAAUAUAAAUUCGUAACAAAUCGAUAGCGUCGGCACGCGAUCGCGGUAUGUUUCAAUGGACAUUUAUUUAGCGGAUACGCGACCGUCUCACGAACGUGCGAACGCACGUUGACGGAACGUGAUACCGUGCCCUUCUCGCAACCUCCGUCGGUAAAUCCUCUGAAAUUCGUUUCAGGAAAUCGUCGCGCGACGAGUGCGCGAGAUCCAAGUUCAAACCGCGGAGAACAACUUCGAGAAUCGCAGCAAGAGGUUCUCGAGCGUUACGUUGACUUUUUAAUUAGCGUUUGCAUUGUGAUAAAUUGUGAUGCUUAUAUAUAAGGGGUAGACGGUUCGUAGUUUACAAGAUACGCGAUAUUGAUAGAUAAUGAAUGACCAUUUUUUGCCUGGAGAAAUAUAAUCGUUACUAGCAGAAGCAAAUUGGUCAGUAAAGCGUUGGUCUGUUAAAUAAGUUAUAUGUAACGCAUCUAUAUUUAAAAUAAAUUUGAAUUGGAAGAGCGAACAAAAAUAUCCACGACAGAAAGAAAAGUUUAGACACUUUACCGACCGCUAUUUUACCGAGCCGAUUGAUCGGCUUUUUGUCCCCAACGUUUACCGACCGGGAACUGUUUAAUCGGUAGUUAUGGUAACUACCAAGUAUUUGUUACUUUGAAUCGAGAUACUAGUCGCGUUGUAAGCUCCCAUAUUUUUAUACAAGUCCCGUUAACAGAAAUGAUCGGCCGAGUGAACUGGAACCACUACCGGUCGGUAAAGUGUUAACCCUUUGCACUCGAGGCCUUUUUUUCUGGUAUCUCUACUGAUAAUUCUAAGCUAUCUAGAUUUGAGAAUAAGGUCACCUUUACCUCGCUUAAAAACAUUUUAUUGACACUUCGAGCUCCAAAGAAAUGAAACUUAAACAAACGUUAGGUAUUGUAGAUUUGCUGCGUGAAACCUAAUGGUAACUGAGAGUCACACCUCGAGUGCAAAGGGUCAAACAGGCUACUACUGCCUACAUAUCUUCAAAUAAAUAAUAGUCAUUCUUUUUCUAUCGUAUACCUUAUAAGCUACGAACCGUCUUCCCCCAAAUCUA